UGCCCAAGAGAUCGGGAUAACACCUGGAAACAGAUGCUAAUACCGGAUAACAACAGAUGAUGCCUAUCAACUGUUUAAAAGAUGGUUCUGCUAUCACUCUUGGAUGGACCUGCGGUGCAUUAGCUAGUUGGCAGGGUAACGGCCUACCAAGGCGAUGAUGCAUAGCCGAGUUGAGAGACUGAUCGGCCACAUUGGGACUGAGACACGGCCCAAACUCCUACGGGAGGCAGCAGAA
RNAcentral lists this ribosomal RNA (235 nucleotides) under uncultured Lactobacillus sp. RNAcentral describes it as "partial 16S ribosomal RNA". It matches the Rfam family "Bacterial small subunit ribosomal RNA", at positions 127 to 354 of the family's 1533-position model. Lineage: Bacteria; Bacillati; Bacillota; Bacilli; Lactobacillales; Lactobacillaceae. The record is from RNAcentral.